This 492-nucleotide ribosomal RNA is filed under the name uncultured bacterium. RNAcentral's name for it is "partial 16S ribosomal RNA". It matches the Rfam family "Bacterial small subunit ribosomal RNA", at positions 29 to 507 of the family's 1533-position model. The record is from RNAcentral.
AGUGAACGCUGGCGGUAGGCCUAACACAUGCAAGUCGAACGGCAGCACAGUAAUAGCUUGCUCUUACGGGUGGCGAGUGGCGGACGGGUGCGGAAUACAUCGGAAUCUACUUUUUCUUGGGGGAUAACGUAGGGAAACUUACGCUAAUACCGCAUACGACCUACGGGUGAAAGCAGGGGAUCUUCGGACCUUGCGCGAUUGAAUGAGCCGAUGUCGGAUUAGCUAGUUGGCGGGGUAAAGGCCCACCAAGGCGACGAUCCGUAGCUGGGCUGAGAGGAUGAUCAGACACACUGGAACUGAGACACGGUCCAGACUCCUACGGGAGGCAGCAGUGGGGAAUAUUGGACAAUGGGCGCAAGCCUGAUCCAGCCAUACCGCGUGGGUGAAGAAGGCCUUCGGGUUGUAAAGCCAUUUUGUUGGGAAAGAAAAGCAGCAGGUUAAUACCCCGCUGUUCUGACGGUACCCAAAGAAUAAGCACCGGCUAACUUCGUG